UGGAACUUCACAAGAAUCAUUUUCACAAGACCAAAGGGAGCCUAAUUCAAGUCGUACAGAUUUCUGUUCUAAUUUCAAUCAAACAAGUCUCUUGCAAGCUCUGCGGCCUGUGGGGCUCUUGCAAUCUCCUGCGUGAGGGGCGCACGAUCGAAACAGCCCCCGCCACGAUCCAAACACAAACAGCCUCUGGGGUCACUGCCCCUCAUACAAAAUGUACACCCAACAUAAACAAAGAUGCAAUUGCUCUGCAACAAACUAAGGUUAACAUGAUAGUGUAGACAGUUCCAUGCACACAAAUUGAAGCUCAGAACAAUGCCGAUUCAGGCCGCUUGGUAAGGACAAUAUUUGAUUCCAAACAGAACAUAUCAAAUUCUCACAUAAACUGGAACAGGUCGCUUGUAACAAUUACCAAGAGUUCUUCACGUUCACAGGACAGCAAAAUUAACUACCGCGAUAGGAUCAAACCACCACUUAUGGGAGCCAAAUGACAGUGACAGAGCUCUAAUCAAACAGGGAGAAUCCCAUGUCGUCGUCGCUCUCUUCCUUCUCCUCUUCCUUCUUCUCCUCCUUGG
RNAcentral lists this long non-coding RNA (572 nucleotides) under Sorghum bicolor (sorghum). RNAcentral describes it as "long non-coding RNA (SBIC_LNC018390)". Lineage: Eukaryota; Viridiplantae; Streptophyta; Magnoliopsida; Poales; Poaceae. The record is from RNAcentral.